UCAGUCCAGCGAAUUCAAGCACUCUCAAAAACUCCCAUAAUAAUCUCUAAAGCUGUUUACACUGUUAAAUGAAUAUCUUACUUACAUCUUCACUUAUUUCUGAUGAAAUAAUUAGCCAGAGAAUUCAGUCAGCCAGCGCGCGCGGUGAUGAAACGAUGUCUCAUCUGAACGCCUCUGAUUGGUCCUUGCAUUCAUGAACUCAACAUAAUCGUAUGUGAUUGGUUAUAAUGCGCAGCACUUUAAAAACGCGUGUGGCUCUGGCUCUGGCGAACGCAGAUUUGAAUUUAGCAGCUUGUGAUGGUUUCCCCUUUUACGUAGCCUAUAGUUUACAGGACAAAUAUUUCACAUAAAAUUGUUUGGUGUGAUAUCGUUCCAAAUUUAUUUGUUUUAUGUGUUAUGUGUUAUGACUGCGGAUGUCGACAACUUGACUAGGCACCUCAUAAACACCAUUCAUGUGUGUGUGUUUUCUUUACAGGUUUUUACGUUGUUAAAAAACUCGCUCACGCUUUUAAAAAAUGCGCUCGAGACUCGCGCUCUGUUGCGUUCCAUUUUGGAACGUUCGUGCAUCCCGAUGACGUCACAGUCCCUUAUAACCGCGCGCUCGCAGACAGUCUUCACAGUUAGUGACGGUGAGAAUCUGAGCGAGUUUGCGGAGUGCCAGAGAAAAUCUACAUACGAAAGUCUGCAGACACAAACACACAGUGUACAGACUAAAGUUAAGUCCACUCUCAGCGUCACGAUGCGGCCAGCAUCUGAGUCCGUGUCUAAUGAGACAGAAGCGGCUGCGUGGCUGGAUAACAUCAGCUUCUGCAGCGGCUUCUGUGAGUGGAUCGACGAAGAGUUGAUCGAUUCACUGCCAGCUGACUCCCAGCCGCCUGUCGAGUCGAAAAGAGCUUCAGAAGCAGUGAGUGCACAGCCUUGUGCUGAGAAAAGCCCGACAGAGAUUCCUCCUCGAGGCAACAGGAGGAGCAGAAUCCAUGCGUUCUUCAAGAGAGCCUGGAAGGCCGUGAAGAAGCCGUUCCUCCGCUGCAGACGGACACGAGUCGAGUCUGUCCCGGGACCCUCUGAGCUCCAGAACGUGCCUGACACCGAGCCCACAUCUGCCCCAGAUCUCCCCGACUGGAGGCCAACUACCAAAUCUUUGCACAAAUUGUACACACUGCAAGAUCUGAUAGGAACAGGAAGCUACGGCAAGGUGUUCAAGGCAGUCCGAAAAUCAGACGGCCGAGAGGUUGCCAUCAAAAGAACGCAGAAAUGGAGCAACUACUGUUCUCUUCAGAUUGUGAGUUGGCAAAGAGUAAAGAACACGUUUGGUUGUUUAAAGCUAUCUAACCGCUGGUGGUCUUGUCCUGUCCUCUAG
Long non-coding RNA from Cyprinus carpio (common carp), 1360 nucleotides. The record is from Ensembl. NCBI's taxonomy places the organism in Eukaryota, Metazoa, Chordata, Actinopteri, Cypriniformes, Cyprinidae.